GGUAGACGAUGGGGAUGCGUUCCAUUAGAUAGUAGGCGGGGUAACGGCCCACCUAGUCUUCGAUGGAUAGGGGUUCUGAGAGGAAGGCCCCCCACACUGGAACUGAGACACGGUCCAGACUCCUACGGGAGGCAGCAGUGAGGAAUAUUGGUCAAUGGGCGAGAGCCUGAACCAGCCAAGUCGCGUGAGGGAAGAAUGGUCUAUGGCCUGUAAACCUCUUUUGUCAAGGAAGAAUAAAAGGUACGUGUACCUUCUUGCCAGUACUUGACGAAUAAGCAUCGGCUAACUCCGUGCCAGCAGCCGCGGUAAUACGGGGGAUGCGAGCGUUAUCCGGAUUUAUUGGGUUUAAAGGGCGCGUAGGCGGGACGCCAAGUCAGCGGUAAAAGACUGCAGCUAAACUGUAGCACGCCGUUGAAACUGGCGACCUCGAGACGAGACGAGGGAGGCGGAACAAGUGAAGUAGCGGUGAAUGCUUAGAUAUCACUUGGAACCCCGAUAGCGAAGGCAGCUUCCCAGGCUCGAUCUGACGC
Molecule: ribosomal RNA, 530 nt
Filed under: uncultured Bacteroidales bacterium
Lineage: Bacteria; Pseudomonadati; Bacteroidota; Bacteroidia; Bacteroidales
Description: bacterial SSU rRNA
Rfam family: Bacterial small subunit ribosomal RNA
Source: RNAcentral